This is a long non-coding RNA of Macaca fascicularis (crab-eating macaque), 1668 nucleotides long. The record is from Ensembl. NCBI's taxonomy places the organism in Eukaryota, Metazoa, Chordata, Mammalia, Primates, Cercopithecidae.
GGUCUACCCACACAGUGGAAGAGUAUUCACCCAUAAAAAGGAAGGAAAUCCUUAUGCAGGCUACAAUAUGGAUGCAACUUGAGGGGAUCACCAUCAGUGUAAGCAGCCAGUCCACAAAAAGACAGAUGCUGCAGGAUUCCACUUACACGAGGUCUCCCGAGCAGUCAAAUCUGUACAGACAGAGAGUGGAUGGUGGGUGCCAGGGGCUGGGGGAAGGGUCAUGGGGAGCUGGUGUUUAAUGGGGACAGACUUUCGGUUUGGGAAAAUGAGAAACUUUUGGAGAUGGAUGGUGGUGAUGACUGCACAGCCACAUGAACACACUUAAUUCCACAGAACCGUGCACUUACAAAUGGUUAAGAAGGUCCAUUUUAUGGCAUGUGUAUUGAACCACAGUCUGAAAAUUCAGAGUAUUUUGUAACAGUGAGUGUGACCUGGACUUCAUGUUUCCGUGACCAGGAAGCAUGUUUUGUUAUUUCCUCCCUGCCCAUGCCUGCAUUUGCUCCCCAAGGCAGGGGACUCGUGGCAGAGACAUGUGACCGGCAAGGCCAAAAAUACUUACCAUGUGGUACUUUGCAGAAAAAGUUUGCCUACCGCUGUUCAAGAGCUCAGGGAUGAAGAGUUGGAGGUAGGUAGAGCCUGGGAGAGGUGCCAGGGUGCCCAGGCAAAGGGCUCGUGAGGCCGCAUGCUUAUGUUCGAAGGUCUUCUAACUGCUUUAUUAAGAUACAGUUCACAUUCCAUAAAGUGUACAUUUCAAUGUUUUUUGUGUGUGUGCUGUGUACAGAGCUGUGAAGCCAACAGGACAGGUCAUGUCAGAACAUUCUCAGGCUCUGGGAAAGAAACUAUGUACCUUUCACGGUCACUCCCAUCCCUCUGUUCUUACCCCCCAGUCCCCGGUAACCAUGAAUCUCCUGUCUGUGAAUCCAUCCACUACACACAUUUCAUAGACUGAGAGUCACAUGCUAUGUGGUCCUCGGUGUCUGACUUCAUUCACACGACCUCAUGUUCUCGAGGUUCACCUACAUCAUGGCAAGAAACAGCUUCGUCUCUUUUUAGGGCUGAAUAACCUUCCAUUAUUCUAGACCAUGUUUUGUUUAUCCACUCAUCUGUUGAUGGACAUGUGGCUAUUGUGAACUGUGCUUCUCAGGAUGGACUGAGAGACCAAGAGUGCCAGAGAAGACGGCCCAGAUAGCAUGGAGACCCACCAGUCCGGGAGACAGCCUGCUUCCGAAGUAAGGGGGGUGCUGCAGCGUCAAAAGCUGCACAGCCGGUGGCACCCAGGAAUGAAGCAGGGGCCGAUGCAGGGAGAGACACAGGUCUCUAGGGAAUUAUUAUUUCAAAGCUAGGCGUUGGGGGCAGACGGGGUUUCCACAGUGGUGGGAGGACCAGAUUGGGAAGAGGAUGAAGGUGGAGAGAGGUGUGGGCGGUGGUGGGGGACUGGCCUGGCCGUGGCACAGCAGGUGCAGGUGAGUGCAGGACUGUGCCUGGGGGCAGGGUAGCAAGAAGCCAUGCCUGGGCGCUGAGAGGCUUGAGUUUUUAGACAGGAAGUUUUGGGGUGAUCUGUAGAGGCCUUACAGGUCCUGCUCCGGAGAUCUUACCAGCUGUGGAGGCACUCGGGUGAAGACGGGACAGAGAGCAACCUAGCCGCUGUACCCCUCGUCCCUGUUGACC